This 440-nucleotide ribosomal RNA is filed under the name uncultured bacterium. Its description in RNAcentral is "bacterial SSU rRNA". It matches the Rfam family "Bacterial small subunit ribosomal RNA", at positions 355 to 786 of the family's 1533-position model. The record is from RNAcentral.
UAGGGAAUUUUCGUCAAUGGGGGGAACCCUGAACGAGCAAUGCCGCGUGAGUGAAGAAGGUCUUCGGAUCGUAAAGCUCUGUUGUAAGAGAAAAACGGAUCAUGUAGGGAAUGACAUGAUAGUGAUGGUAUCUUACCAGAAAGCCACGGCUAACUACGUGCCAGCAGCCGCGGUAAUACGUAGGUGGCAAGCGUUAUCCGGAAUGAUUGGGCGUAAAGGGUGCGUAGGUGGUACAUUAAGUCUGAAGUAAAAGGCAGCAGCUCAACUGCUGUUCGCUUUGGGAAAACUGGUGAACUAGAGUACAGGAGAGGGCGAUGGAAUUCCAUGUGUAGCGGUAAAAUGCGUAGAUAUAUGGAGGAACACCAGUGGCGAAGGCGGUCGCCUGGCCUGUAACUGACACUGAGGCACAGAAGCGUGGGGAGCAAAUAGGAUUAGAUACC